Molecule: ribosomal RNA, 407 nt
Filed under: uncultured bacterium
Lineage: Bacteria
Description: partial 16S ribosomal RNA
Rfam family: Bacterial small subunit ribosomal RNA
Source: RNAcentral
UGGGGAAUAUUGCACAAUGGGCGCAAGCCUGAUGCAGCGACGCCGCGUGAGGGAUGACGGCCUUCGGGUUGUAAACCUCUUUCAGUAGGGAAGAAGCGAAAGUGACGGUACCUGCAGAAGAAGCACCGGCUAACUACGUGCCAGCAGCCGCGGUAAUACGUAGGGUGCGAGCGUUAUCCGGAAUUAUUGGGCGUAAAGAGCUCGUAGGCGGUUUGUCGCGUCUGUCGUGAAAGUCCGGGGCUUAACCCCGGAUCUGCGGUGGGUACGGGCAGACUAGAGUGCAGUAGGGGAGACUGGAAUUCCUGGUGUAGCGGUGGAAUGCGCAGAUAUCAGGAGGAACACCGAUGGCGAAGGCAGGUCUCUGGACUAAUACUGACACUGAGGUGCGAAAGCGUGGGGAGCAAACA